RNAcentral lists this ribosomal RNA (1465 nucleotides) under uncultured Bordetella sp. Its description in RNAcentral is "partial 16S-23S ribosomal RNA intergenic spacer". It matches the Rfam family "Bacterial small subunit ribosomal RNA". Lineage: Bacteria; Pseudomonadati; Pseudomonadota; Betaproteobacteria; Burkholderiales; Alcaligenaceae. The record is from RNAcentral.
GGUUCGAUCCUUCAGAUUGAACGUCUGGCGGGAUGCUUUUACACAUGCAAGUCGAACGGCAAUGACUUCGGUCUGGUGGCGAGUGGCGAACGGGUGAGUACGUAAUGGAACGUGCCUAGUAGCGGGGAUAACUUUACGCGAAAGCGUAGCUAAUACCGCAUACGCCCUUCGGGGAAAGCGGGGACCUUUCUCACCUCGCACUAUUAGGAGCGGCCGAUAUCGGAUUAGCUAGUUGGUGGGGUAACGGCUCACCAAGACGAUCCGUAGCUGGUUUGAGAGGACGACCAGCCACACCGGGACUGAGACACGGCCCAGACUCCUACGGGAGCAGCAGUGGGAAUUUUGUAUAGAUAAUGGGGAAACCCUGAUCCAGCCAUCCUGCCGUGUGCGAUGAAGGUCAUUGUAAAGCACUUUUUGGCAGGAAAGAAACGGCACGGGAUAAUACCCCGUGCAACUGACGGUACCUGCAGAAUAAGCACCGGCUAACUACGUGCCAGCAGCUAUGGCAUGCGUAGGCAAGCGUUAAUCGGAAUUACUGGGCGUAAAGCGCAGCAGGCGGUCUGAAGAAAGAUGAAUCCCAGAGCUUAACUUUGGAACUGUAUUUUUAACUACCGAGCGUAGAGGUGUCAGAGGGAGGUGGAAUUCCGCGGUAGUGAGCGAAAUGCGUAGAUAUGGAGGAACACCGAUGGCGAAGGCAGCCUCCUGGGAUAACACUGACGCUCAUGCACGAGCGUGGGAGCAAACAGAUUAGAUACUCCUGGUAUCCACGCUCCUAAACGAUGUCAACUAUUGUUGGGGCUUCUCCUGGGCCUUUGGUAGCGCAGCUAACGGGUACAGUUGACCGUCGGGGAGUACGGUCGCAAGAUUAAAACUCAAAGCUAGAAUUGAUUUGGACCCGCACAAGGGUGGAUGAUGUGGAUUAAUUCACUGCAACGCGAAAAACCAUCAAUUCCUGACAUGUCUGAAUCCCGAAGAGGAUUUUGGGAGUGGUUUGCAGAGAACCGGAACACAGGUGCUGGCAUGGUUUGUCGUCAGCUCGUGUCGUGAGAUGUUGGGUUAAGUCCCGGCAACGAGCGCAACCCUUGUCAUUAGUUGCUACGAAAGGGCACUCUAUCGAGACUGCCGGUGACAAACCGGAGGAAGGUAGAUGACGUCAAGUCCUCAUGGCCCUUAUGGGUAGGGCUUCACACGUCAUACAAUGGUCGGGACAGAGGGUCGCCAACCCGCGAGGGGGAGCCAAUCCCAGAAACCCGAUCGUAGUCCGAUCGGUAGUCUGCAAAAUCCAUCCAGCAGUCGGAAUCGCUAGUAAUCGCGGAUCAGCAUGUCGCGGUGAAUACGUUCCCGGGUCUUAAAGACACCUCGCCCGUCACACCAUGGAGUGGGUUUUACCAGAAGUAGUUAGCCUAACCGUAAGGAGGGCGAUUACCACGGUAGGAUCUACGACUGGGUGAAGUCGUAACAAGGU